MicroRNA precursor from Medicago truncatula (barrel medic), 201 nucleotides. It matches the Rfam family "MIR2619 microRNA precursor family". NCBI's taxonomy places the organism in Eukaryota, Viridiplantae, Streptophyta, Magnoliopsida, Fabales, Fabaceae. The record is from Rfam.
AAACAACAUCUUAUGUAUUGGAUAUUUGGCAGUUUUGGCCCCCAAGCCCACUUUUGACUUAGUCUUCGCUGACGUGGCACCCACAAUGGUCGACACGUGGCACCUCACUUAAGGGAUGUGGGUGCCACGUCAGCGAAGACUAAGUCAAAAGUGACAUUGGGGGCCAAAAUUGUCCAAUAUCUAAUACAUAGGGGGCUGUUU